RNAcentral lists this long non-coding RNA (295 nucleotides) under Coffea arabica (coffee). Its description in RNAcentral is "long non-coding RNA (CARA_LNC004323)". The record is from RNAcentral. Lineage: Eukaryota; Viridiplantae; Streptophyta; Magnoliopsida; Gentianales; Rubiaceae.
CUCAGCCUCAGCAGAGCCACUACUCCUCGUCGAGAAAGAUGAUGAAAAUCAAAUCCCCAAAGCCCCGCGCCUUCAUUCCUCAUCAUGGUCAGCUGAUUUCGUAACCCACAAUGAAGAUCUCUUGGCCCAGAUUUUGCUUUUCUUGCCUCCGAAGUCCCUCCUCCGCUUCCAAUCCGUCUCCAAGCAAUGGUUAUCCAUCAUUUCCAGCCCUGGUUUCCGCCGCAUGCACAGCCGGAAAUACCGCUCUGCCGGCUCGUCUUUCUUUGUUCUUGACAGCUGUGUCGAUGACCCCCCG